RNAcentral lists this ribosomal RNA (605 nucleotides) under uncultured marine eukaryote. RNAcentral's name for it is "SSU rRNA". It matches the Rfam family "Eukaryotic small subunit ribosomal RNA", at positions 613 to 1220 of the family's 1831-position model. The record is from RNAcentral.
UUGUGGUUAAAAAGCUCGUAGUUGGAUCUCGGCGGACUGAGGGCGGUUUGCUUGCUAGUAUUACUGCCCUAUAGUCCGUAGUUUUGCCAGAGGUUUCGGGGUGCUCUUAAUCGAGUGUCCCGGGAUGCUGGCAGGUUUACUUUGAAAAAAUUAGAGUGCUCAAAGCAGGCUAUUACGCCUGAAUAUUCGUGCAUGGAAUAAUAGAAUAGGAAGUCGUUUCUAUUUUGUUGGUUUUCGGAAAUCGACUUAAUGAUUAAUAGGGACAGUCGGGGGCAUUUGUAUUCAAACGACAGAGGUGAAAUUCUUGGACCGUCUGAAGACAAACUACUGCGAAAGCAUUUGCCAAGAAUGUUUUCAUUAAUCAAGAACGAAAGUUAAAGGUUCGAAGGCGAUUAGAUACCGCCCUAGUUUUAACCAUAAACGAUGCCAGCUAGCGAUCUGCGGACGUUUUUUUUGUAGACUCCGCAGGAAGCUUCCGGGAAACCAAAGCAUUUGGGUUCCAGGGGAAGUAUGGUUGCAAAGCUGAAACUUAAAGGAAUUGACGGAAGGGCACCACCAGGAGUGGAGCCUGUGGCUUAAUUUGACUCACACGGGAAAUCUCACCA